RNAcentral lists this ribosomal RNA (492 nucleotides) under uncultured bacterium. Its description in RNAcentral is "partial 16S ribosomal RNA". It matches the Rfam family "Bacterial small subunit ribosomal RNA", at positions 29 to 507 of the family's 1533-position model. The record is from RNAcentral.
AGUGAACGCUGGCGGUAGGCCUAACACAUGCAAGUCGAACGGCAGCACAGUAAGAGCUUGCUCUUACGGGUGGCGAGUGGCGGACGGGUGAGGAAUACAUCGGAAUCUACUUUUUCGUGGGGGAUAACGUAGGGAAACUUACGCUAAUACCGCAUACGACCUACGGGUGAAAGCAGGGGAUCUUCGGACCUUGCGCGAUUGAAUGAGCCGCUGUCGGAUUGGCUAGUUGGCGGGGUAAAGGCCCACCAAGGCGACGAUCCGUAGCUGGUCUGAGAGGAUGAUCAGCCACACUGGAACUGAGACACGGUCCAGAGUCCUACGGGAGGCAGCAGUGGGGAAUAUUGGACAAUGGGCGCAAGCCUGAUCCAGCCAUACCGCGUGGGUGAAGAAGGCCUUCGGGUUGUAAAGCCCUUUUGUUGGGAAAGAAAAGCAGCAGGUUAAUACCCCGCUGUUCUGACGGUACCCAAAGAAUAAGCACCGGCUAACUUCGUG